RNAcentral lists this long non-coding RNA (22943 nucleotides) under Triticum aestivum (bread wheat). Its description in RNAcentral is "long non-coding RNA (TAES_LNC002702)". The stretch from base 15129 to 15215 matches the Rfam family "MIR1120/MIR1122 microRNA precursor family". The record is from RNAcentral. Lineage: Eukaryota; Viridiplantae; Streptophyta; Magnoliopsida; Poales; Poaceae.
UAGGAGUCGGAGGAUGAAACGGCGGCAGCUCCGACAAGAAGGCGGUGCCGCCGGAGGAGGAGGAGGAGAAGGACAUAGUAGCGUUACUGAGCUGGGGGGGUUGCGAUUGCGAGCCUAGAAUUAAUCCUUAUUUUUCUGCUUCGGAGCUUGACAUUCACCAUCAUCAUCAUCAUCAUCAUCUUGUACAGAAACCGCCUAUUUAUUCGAAGCAUUAAUAAACAGCGAUCGAUGCUAAUUUGGCAGUCUCUCGUUUCUGUUGACGAUGUUCUCUGCUCGGAGAAGCUUCCCGUCGGAUUUUCUCCCAUGUUCUGUUUUUGAGCUAGUGAGUGAGUGAGUGAGCUGUCUGUCUCUGACUACCUUUAGCUCUUGAAGAGGUUGUUAAGAUUGGACAAGGUGACGGAGCAGGACGGCUCAACCUUCUUCAACAACAAGUCUGACCCCAUGGAGGUUGGAGUAAUGGAACGAUCCAUGUCUAACAGUCUGGUGAAAAUGAACCCCCUCCUCGGUUGUCCGAACUGUCUGGUGAGAACGUCUCUUUGUAUAUGUUAAAUAUGUUUUUGAGCUAGUGAGUGAGUGAGUGAGCUGUCCGUCUCUGCCUACUUUUAUUGAAGAGGUUGUUAAGAUUGGGCAGCAAGGUGACGGAGCAGGACGGCUCAACCGUCUUCAACAACAAGCCUGACCUCCUCCGUGGAGGUUGGAGGAAUGGACUGAUCCAUGCCGAAGCGCGCCGAAAGUGAACCUCCUCCGCGGCGAAAACUCUGCUGAAAGUGAACCCUCCUCCGCGGCUACUCACAUUCAGGAGCGCGCCGAGGCUUCCGUCGAUGACACUGGAAUCGAACUGUUCAUCCUAUCCCACAUGUGUUGUGCAGAAAUCGAGCCGUAUUCAAACAUCGACGGUCCGCGCCGGACUUGCAGGUAGCAGUACCGAUCUGCCGGUGACAACGAUUUGCACGACCGGCUGGCUGACAGUGGUACCGAAUUUUCGCCGACUGCCACGCAUUGUUUGCAGGGCGUUCAGGUUCACUGAACGGCAGGCACUUGCCUGCCGUGAUGUGGUGAUGCGGGUAGAGGUCGCCGUCACGCUACAUCUACAGAGGUACAGGACCACGCCUACGCGUACAGCGACCAUUCACUAGCUUCGACAUGGGAUUUAAGAUGUGACACGGAGCUGACUUGUCAACAGCACGUUUGAAUUUUAUUCCCAACGAGACCGUUUUUUUUCUGCGGUGCCUCGAGAUUAUACCUGGCCAUGGGAAGCCCGGCCCGGCCGUCCCGGCCCGACCCUGCCCCCGGGCCGGGCCCGGGCCUAGAUUUGAGCCCGAAGGCCGGGUCGGGCCGGGCCCGUCAUUUCUGCAUUUUUCUGAAGGUCGGGCCGGGCUCGGGCCUAGAUUUGAGCCCGAAGGCCGGGUCAGGCCGGGCCCGUCAUUUCUGCGUUUUUCUGAAGGUCGGGCCAGGCUCGAGCCCAGAAAACGGGCCUGAUGGUGGAGCCAGGCCGAGCCCGGGCAUGGAUUUUUUGCGUCGGGCUUGGCUAGGCCCGGCCCGAAGCCUGGCCUGGGCCGAGGUAUGGCCAGGUAUACUCGAGAUAUAUAACAAGCCAAACGAGCUAAGAGCAUCUCUAGCCAAUCCCUUAAUAACAACUUCACAAAAUUUUAUGUUUUGAGAAGUUAACCAUAUAUAACCGAACCCUCAAAGCGAACAAGUUAACUCCUAAACCCAGCUCAACUCUCUCAAAUUUACUCGGGCGCGACUACUUCUAAAGAAGAAUAAGUCUCUCCCAACUCCCACCUGAGGCGCUUCCUCUUCCUGCCACCGCCGCUAAUGUCGUUACUGCCGCCACCGCAGGUCCCGACUUCGACAGGAGUGGAACCGCAUGAUCUCCUCCGCAACCCCGUUGGUGCUACACCGCCAUCCACGCCAAGGAAGCAACUGGGGACGAAGAAUGUGGUGCGGCCCGUCAUGUCGUCAACAAAGGCUAACGGCGGCCGCGAUGACGACCGCUCGUGCUCCGCUUGCUCCGCCCAGCGGCAAGGCAAGGAAGCCGGUAAGGCCCUCACUGAGGCGGCGCGAAGAAGUAAAAAGAGCACAAAGAAGACAUCCAUACCGACAUCGUGCCUACUCCAACAAUGCUCUUCGCUUUGAGCACGAAAUUGAAGUAAUCAUCCUCUGCCUCCUCUCUAGUCUUAAACCCUUCAUAACAGUUGUUUUUGUAAUCAUACACUUGUUCAUGGCAUGUCUGUCAUGAAUCAUACACUCAUGGACACCUCCCUAUGUACAUCACAUAUAUCACUUCAUCUACCAAGAUAGAGGAACAAGCUUUCAACAAGCGGGAGAAGAUACACAAUGUUAGAAGAACACAUGGAACAUAAGCAUUAACGAUUCAUGAUUCAUAUACACAAAAGCAUCACAAGUUCUACUCAAGUUCGGCUCUGAGUCGACAUCGACAACUACAUUCUCUACACUACAAAAAAAUACACUUCCGUGAUGAUACGUGUUUGUCACAGUAGGUCGUGUUUUUUGUCAUGCAUGUACAUCCAUGAAGAUUUUAUGACAAAAUCAAGAUAGUCAUAAAUGUGCUGUCGUAGAAGUGUUCCAUGACAUUACCAAAGUUAUCAUCACGGAAGUGUCCACUUCCAUGACGAUAAAUCGCGCGUUACAGAAGUGCUUUCGUCAAGGAUGACCGACACGUGGCAUCCAUCGUAACGGAAUGUCGUUAAGCUAUCGGGUCGGGGUUUGGAUCCGAUAACCCGUUAACAGCCCCGACCAAUGGGGAUUUUCCACGUGUAAAAUCAUCAUUGGCUGGAGGAAACACGUAUCGGCUCAUCGUUGGGACAGAUGUCAUCCACUCAUUGGACAAAAGGCGCCUAUGAUACGUCGACACGUGGCAUGGCCUAACAGUGGCCCAUUCCUGUGAAAAGGCCGACCCGUUUGACUUGGUCAAAAGGUGACGGGCCGGCCCAUGGAAAGCCUGUUAACGUAAUGUUCGCAUAUAGCCCAUUUACAGCCUGCUAACCCAAGGCCCGUUACGCCCUAUCCGAAUUAGGCCUAGUAGCAUCAUCUGGGCCAUCCAAUAUGAUUCCAGACCGUUUUCACUUCUGGCCCAGGUAUGACCCAUGACGUCUUUCGGCCCAUAUGAGGCCCUUUGUAACUAUUGGCCCAUUAACGGCCCGUGGUGAAACUGGCCCGUAAUGAACACUUUAUCACUUUACACCCAUUAACGGCCCGUGGUGAAACUGGCCCGUAAUGAACAGUGUAUCACUUUAUACCCAUUAACGGCCCGUUAUUCCGCUGGGCCGUUUCCAGCCCAAGUUAUCUUUCGACCUUCAGAGGGCCCAUUUAUUCUUGGGCUCAUUUGCAGCAUUCGGUUACUUACGGCCCGUUACUGUCAUGUUCUGCUUGUGGGCCAAAUUCAGCCCAUCGUUACAGUCGGCCCGUUUGUGGACUGUUAAUCUGUUGGGCCGUUUUCAUAGCAUCACCAAAUAUGGCCUAUUAACAGCCCGUUAUGGUCAGCCCAUAAAACGUACGAUUUCCAUUAAAGGCCCGUCUACGGCCCAUUAGAGGACCGUGCAAGACCCAUAAAUGAGUCGGCCUUUACAAGGCCCAUGGAUCCUACGAGACGUAGAAGACCCAUGGAUCCUACGAGACGUAGAAGGCCCAUGGAUCCUACGGCCCAUUGAAGGCCCAUGGAUCCUACGGCCCGUACAUGGCCCAUGGAUCGUACGGCCCGUGAAGGGCCAUGGUCGAGCGAGUUGGACCCCGUUUGAACGAUAUAGCAUAUUCAAAGAAUUAUCCUACUCAAUACUAUCACAUCUAAAAAGCAUACACUAUACAACAAAGAGAUCAAGACAUAGAAAGGUAGAAUAAUCCUACACUAUACAAUAAAGAAAUUACAGCCGAUUAUACCCACUGGGCAUUAUGGUUCGACACAUGUGAUAAUAAAGCAUACACAAAUAGCAAAUUACAUACACUGGGCAAAUACAGCUCAUACAUCAUGGACAUGCAUCAACUUAACUCCAUUUGAACUAUAAUCGAUUGGCCGGAUUCAGAUAGCACAAAUUUCAGUCUGCAAAAUCUCCAAUUUCUUCAUAGUUACCUAAGUGUCUUGUUUCAUUUUUUUACUCCUCCAUCUAAUACCUACAUGUCCAGUCUCAACUUGUUGAUUAAAUGUUGACAAUCAUGUACACGUUGUCUUGCCACCUCUAGUUGAUGCUCAAGAACAUCAGCACAUUCCAAUUCCAAUCCAUAAUCAUUCGGUAACGGCCAUGCCGCACUGCUCGCAGAUCUUUGUGUUGAUGUCACUUCAUCCUGAAAUGUUUCUGUAAGUACACAUGACUAGGGCAAAAAUAUAGUUACAACAGUGAAGCGAGCAAGACACUAUUUUGUACUACAUGACAAAACAGGACUAACAAUAAUGUUACAUAUCACUUUAAAAAAAAUGUUACACGUCAUGAAGCAUAAGUAGGUGGUAUUUUAAAAAUUAUAAAAAAGAUAGUCUGUGCAGGCUGCAUACAGAAAUCCCUCUUAGCUCACUAGAGGAGCAUGAUGUUGGGGCCCAAUCAAAAACACAGAUAAGUUACAAAUUUAGACAGCACGUUGCGUAUAAGUAAGCAAGCAGUUGGCCAUUCUGUAGCUCAAUUAAAGUCUUAUGGAGCAUAAUGAAUAGCAGAGGGUUUCAUACAAACAUACUACAGCAGGCAAAACUAUGCAAUCAUUAGCGUAGUAUAAACUAGAUUGUGAGCCACAUGCAAUAAUAGUUGGUUAAUAGACUUCAAAGCUUCAUGCACAUUUUGAUAGAGUAAUUAAAUGGUAAGGCCUUUAAUUAUGUCAACUAAUAGUUAUACAAGUACCGAACAUCAGACAUGAUUAUUUGGGCAUCUCAUUAACUGAGGACAAAUAAAGCAAUUGAAAAGAGCAAAUUAACUAUGCCUGAAACAAACAAGGAAUUGGACUGUUGAGUUGCAUAUAGUGACUUACCUUAGCAGGUUGAAGAGGCUCGGCGCAGCUCCUACUUCUCUUGCAAGGCUCCUUCCUAACAUCUUGUACUUGGAAAUCCUUAAUCUUAUCUUCAUUGCACCCCCUCUGCAAGGUGACACAAACUAGUUACUCGUCUCCUUGGAAGAUAAAUAUGCAUACUUUCCAGUCUGUGAACACAAAAGGAUGAGAUUAUAACAAAACACCACCACAUAAUGAAACAUGUCGCAUCUCUUGCACUUGCACACAAUGAAAUGAGCAUUUACUAUGUCUGCACUAUGUAAAAACUAGGCAUACCUUCAAACUGGAUCUCCUGGUACUCUUGGAGAGCCUACUGUAGUGUACAGCCAAACCUUUAUGUCACCUAUGAGUUAGAAAAGGCCCCACUACAGCAGCCCUUAGUGUUUAAAUCGUUGACAAGCUCUGUUAGAGUGUUAGGUCAAGAACAGCAAGUAAUCAAAGCAAACAGUCCUAGUAUGGCUGGCUGACGCAAACAAGCAAUUGAACAGAUGUGUGAGCAAAUCUUACAUAUCAAGAAAAGAAGCAAAGAAGAAGGCUUAAAGACCAUCACUUGACUGACCAGAUUUAAGGGGCAUUUAAACAUCAUGUGCAACGUAUGAACUAACGUAAACAUUGCAUAUUCCAGAUUCUACAAUGGAAUGCACAUGUAUUAGGUUAUGCCAUGUAUGAUGAUGCCUUAAUGUACAGAUAGCAGGCAGGAGUGAUUCAUCAUUGCACGCACAAUUGAAUUGCAGGUUAAGGGCCAGUUCGAUUCCGCCUUUUCAGGGCAUAUUGUCAAAAUAAGCCAUAAAAGAUGUAAAGAAGUCAUUUUUGAGUUAUGGGCUUGGGCUUAACUAAUUUCGCUUUGGAGAGGAGUGUUUUGGGUAGAACAUCACUAAUUGAAGGGAAGGGGAAUAGUGAAAUGACUCUGUUGUCUGCCUAUAUUACACUCAAAAUGCAACUGCUGACGCCCGUGUCACAUCUGACCCUCAAGUAAAAACAAGCACGCAAGCAUUCAUUGCCCUGCCUGCUUGCAUCUCCUCUUCCCUUUCCCUCUACCUCGAUCCCCUGCCUGCAGCACUAGGGUUCCUCCAGCGAGCCGUCGCCACUGGUCCCAUCUGGCCUGGUCCUCGAUGAUGCUAUGUCCAGCUAGGCUACAUGGCCGGCGGGUAGGGGCAAAUCUCCCUGGCUGCUCCUCCCUCUGGCGCCGCCCCUCAUUCUCAUGGUCUCCAGCAGCUGCUCCACUGUGGUUCGUCCAACGCACUACUCCGGUGGGCGCUGCACAACUACGCCUGAUGCCACACUACGGCAGAAGGCACCUUAUUCCCCCUCCCCUCCUCCCAGGCCAUGGCCUUGAGGUGUUGUUGAAGGAUGAGCUCAUCCAACAAGGUGAGGAUCUCCUCUGAUUUUUUUGCCAAAUUUUCAUUCUGAUCCACUAUACGAUGAAUUGCUAUGAGCUGCUUCUGCUGCUGCUAUAUGAUGCAUUGCUAUGAGCUGCUCCUGCUGCUGCUAUAUGAUGCAUUGCUAUGAGCUGCUCCUGCUGCUGCUAUAUGAUGAAUUGCUAUGAGCUGCUGCUGCUAUAUGAUGAAUUGCUAUGAGCUGUUGCUGCUGCUAUAUGAUGAAUUGCUAUGAGCUAUUGCUGCUGCAAUAUGAUGAGUUGCUAUAAGCUGCUCCUGCUGCUGCUAUAUGAUGAAUUGCUAUAAGCUGCUCCUGCUGCUGCUAUAUGAUGAAUUGCUAUGAUCUGCUCCUGCUUCUGCUAUAUGAUGAAUUGCUAUGAGCUGCUGCCGGUAUAUGAUGAAUUGCAGACUGUUGCUGCUGUAUGAUGAGUUGCUAUGAGCUGCUGCUGCUAUAUAAUGCUUUCAGGUGCUGCUGCUAUAUGAUAAUAACCAGCCACUUGUACCAUCGAAUUUUAAUAAAUAAUUGUUCUUCAUCUAAAUGUGGGUCAUGCGUUCUUCGUUUAAAUUAGGCAAUAGGAUCUCUAUGGAAAACAUUGACCAUAUGAAAAUAGUGAUGGUCUGUUUUCCUAUCAUAUUAAUUACUGCACUGGGUUCAAUUUGUGAUGUUUGCAAGUCAAAUUAAUUUCCAUAUGGGCAGCAAAAUGCAAAAAUAUAAUGCAAUCUGGACUUUCCACUGAUCAUACCAAAGAUAAGCUGAAAACGCAAUGAAAAGAAUGGGUUGGCUUAUUACAUGAAGCUUACAUUCACAGGUGCUUAUUUUGUUAUGAUAACUCGCAAUAAUUGUCCCUAAGAAACUUGGCUAAUAGAACUGACAUACAAAUAACAUGUCACGAUGAUUGCAAUGGAGGAGUGUCGUACCAUAGCACAUUGUAUAGGCUCACCGCUGCCUCUCCUUUUUUGCGAUGUUCCAUGAAAUUGCCACAUACAUCUUGUACUUUUUCAUUGUGUAACCCUAUCUGCAAGUUGACACGGCUAAUUUCAGACAUCUCUACAUGAUACUACAUUGCAUAUCCCUUGUGCAUAUUUAAACCACCAAUUAACGAUUGUGUGCGUACUAUAAACUAGCCAUGGCUCUGUAUGUUGGACUAGCAGGCACUCUAAGGGAGCCUAAUGUAGUGCACUGGAAUUCCUACAUGCCACCUACGAUUUUGUGUAAUGUACUGCCUCUAUUCCUAAAUAUAUGUCUUUGUAGAGAUUCCAGUACACCACUUACAUAUGUAUAUAGAUGCAUUUUCGAGUGUAGAUUCACUCAUUUUGCUCCGUAUGUAGCCUAUAGUGGAAUCUCUAGAAAGACCUAUAUUUAGAGACGGAGGUACAAGGUAGUAUCAUGUAUGACAUCUACAUAUCUAAUUUAGCAGCCAAUAGUAGAAAUCAUUGUCUGCACAAAGGGAUUACUAGUUGAAAAUCCUAGCAAAGCACGCUGGUAGGCACAGAACAAUACAAGAGGGAGAGACGCGCUUACAGGAUCAUAGCAAUGCCCCAGUCCAGGAUCUUGGUUGGCCAAGCUGUUAGAUCCAGAAGAAACAUUGUCCUUGUAGUUUUUGCUAGCUGGAUAACAGGUAACAACGACCGGUUAGUAUAUUUGAAGUACAUCGGGCAGGUGAUGCUGGGCGGGUUUAAAGGUGACAAGUACCUAGGCCGUGGCGGGUGCUUGGCAUCUCUCCAUGAUGGGAAUCAAGUUAGAAACGUCAAGGGUGAUGACACUACGCUGGCUGUCGGGGUCCGGUAAGGAGAUCUAGAACUGUCGAGUACGGUGUUUGUGGAGCGACCCUGGUAGGGUGGAAUACGGUGUGGGCGAAGCGGAUCUGUGGCCGUGGACGAGGGUGUAGGUGAAGCUGCUUUGGUGGUUGGGUUAAGGAUGGUGUCGACGACGCGGAUCUGCGGCCGUGGACGGGGCGUCAGAAGCUGCUCCGGUGGUUGGGUUAAGGAUGGUGUUGACAAUGCGGAUCUGCGGCCGUGGACGGGGCGUCAGAAGCUGCUCCGGUGGUUGGGUUAAGGGUGGUGUCGACGAUGCGGAUCUGCGGCCGUGGACAGGGCGUCAGAAGCUGCUCUGGUAGGUUGGAUGAGGGUGCGAGGAAGCGGAUCUGAGGCCGUGGACUUGUGAGUUGGCAAAGCGGCUCCGGUAGGGUUGAGAAUGGUAUAGGCAAAGCUACUUCGGUAGGGUUGACGAUGGUGUCGGUGAAGCGGCUCCGGUAGGGUUGAGGAAGGUGUCGGCGAAGAGGAUCACAGGCCAUCGACGGGGGCGUCGGUGGGGCGGCUCCGGGGGGUGUGGACGAAGCGUCUCUGAUGGGGAGUAUGAAUGAGCCGCUACAGAUGCGCGGCGGUUGACGAGAUUACCGGUGAAGCAGAUCCGGCGCCGUGGACAAGGCCGACACUGAAUGGGUUGUGGUACAGUGGUGGAUGAGCAGUCUACUUGUUUCUAGGGGAGGUGGGAGUGGUAGAUGCGGCCACAGAAGCAGAUCCGGCGAGGUGGACGCUGCUGGCAUUUAAUGGGCUAUGGUACGCCGGUGGAUGAGCUGUCUAGGGUUUCGAGAGGGGAGGGGAGAAAGGGCGAUGAAGUACGGACGGCGUGAUGUAAGAUGCUCUAGUGUUGUGGAGUUAGUCGUUUUUGCGGGAGGGGGAGAGGAAAUGGGGGUGCCGUGUAGUGGGGGGAACCGGAAGUUACCAAAGCAGCCCCGACCUAUCAUGUAGAUGAGGGCGGUAUUGUAACUGUUGGUCUCCGUGCACCAAGGACAAAAGGGGGAUUUCGCAUGCUAAAGACUAAGGUGGCGGAAAUUUUAGAAGGAGGCGGGAGAUUUUGCCACCCGCGGGAUCGUUCGUAUCCAGUUUCAACUAAUUUUGGACCAUGCUAGCGGGAAGGUCAUGAUAGACUGUGUACACGGGGCACGUGUCAGCAGUUAAUAACUGGUGUGAAGUCCACCCUAGAAAAAAAGACAAUAACUCGGGAUGAUGCGCCGAUAACUUGGACAUUCACACGGACGCGGCCAAUCAUACGGGUGUAGUGGCACGUUCAAAAAAAAGGGAUCAAACGCUCAGCCUAUGUAUUUCUCGUGUAAAUAGAUAAUUUAGUGCCAUUGGUUAUUUACUUUAAAAAUAAUGCAUUGACGUGUUAGUGUAGAGGCGCACACAAAUAAAUGGAUAUUGUAGUCAGCUACUUAAAAGUGUUACCUCAUAUGAUUACAUAGCCUCCAUUUCAUAAAUUGCGUACCCGUUGAAUUCAUAUAUGAAUAUUACAUAUAUUACUUCAAAAUAAAAACUUAAAUCAUCCAACACUAAUGAAUUUGAAUGCAAGAGUAACAAUGGUGCAUGUACAUGAUAGCUACAUUGGCAUGCACAAUGAAUUUGAAUGCAAGAGUAACAAUGGUGCAUGUACAUGAUAGCUACAUUGGUUGUUUGAAGAAACAUCACUGUAACUUUGGCAUGCACAACUGAAAAGGUUGAUUUAAAUAGAAAAAAAGUGAUAUGUGAGUGUCCAAUCUUUAUAGCGUUGAAUCGAUAUUGUACCUUUGGCUACAAUACGAAGUAGAUAUUGACUUAUGUUCAAGCGAUGCACGUCCACGAUCGCUAGAUAGUGAUACGUGAAUGAAUUGUGCAAUCUCUCUCACACGCAUACAUAUCUCAUUUCUCUGUGGGCAUCGGAAUCACACACGCGCACUUCGUGUAUUUCUCUCCCUCCGUCAGGGUUAAAUUCGUCUUUCUACCCCGUCCUACAAGUCUCUCACACAAAAACACACACGCUCUCUAUGUCUAACACGCCCACCCCUUAAUUCCACCCACCCACAGCCACUAAUGUCUCAAAGUAUAAUAAUGUCUCUCACACAUAUGCUAUCUACCUAUCCCUUAAUAUAGCUAGAUAUGUGUCACACAAACUCCUUCUCCCUACUAGCAAGAUGCCCAUGCGUUGCACGAAACAUCAAGAUGCAUUUGUAUGAGAAUUUUAUCUUGUGGGAUAAAAGGAUGAACGAGGGCCUUAUUUGCAAAUGCGGAGAGGGGUGUGGGUAUCUUUUUGCAAAAUUUCCAUAGUUUCCUCCCUAUCCAUCGGAUAUAAAUCGGAUGGCCUAUAUUGCAGGAUGACAGGAACACCAUCAUCAUCAACCCUGUUUUUUAUAAGAGUAGAGAUAUGUGAGUGUCACUGCCCCCCCACACACACCCACUCACACACCCACACUUCCCAACACCGAAGGAGUAGGGUGACACCUCGAUCUUGAUACUAAUCUAUCAACUGGCUUCUCUCUCAAACAUACACACACACUACCUGGCACCGAAGGAGUAGGGUGGCACAUCGAUCUUGAUAAUAAUCUAUCUACUCCUAUUUCAAACACACACACACGCACACGCACACACACACACACUCGCUAGUUGUGCCUCUAUGCCUACCGCGCACACUCUCGAUAUGUCUUUCUCUCCCCCCCAACAAUGACAACAGAAGGGUGACAACUCGAUCUGAUCAUAAUCUGUCAAUUGGUUUCUCUCUCAAACAUUGUGUCUCGGUGCCUUGCUCGAUAGCCCCCUCAAUAUGUAGACUUUUCUCGCGCGCACAGUUGUAGUGACGAUGACGCUUAACCCAGUGUGCCUUGUUUUUACCGGCCUCAUGUGAUAGUUUUCACCCUGUUUUAUGUUAAUUAACAAGGCAACCUUUUCUUUGUUACUACUAGUGAAUCUGGAAUCAUUCGGGGUAGACAUAAAAUAUAUCACUUCAACCUAAUUAUCGCAGCAACUAUUUUAAAAGAAAUUAGCUAGCUGCCCGUGCGUUGCAUGGAACAUCAAGAUGCAUUUGUAUGAGUAGUUUAUCUAGUGAGAGAAAAGGCUGAACGAGGGAAGGCCUUAUUUGCGAACGUGGAGAGAUGUGUGGGUAUAUUUUUGCAAAAUUGCCAUAGUUUCUUUCCUAUCCGUUAGAUAUAAAUCCGACAACCUAUAUUGCAGGAUGGCACGCACACCAUCAUCACCAACUCUGUUUUCUACUCCCUCCGUCCGAAAAUACUUGUCAUCAAAAUGGAUAAAAAGAGAUGUAUCUAAAACUUAAAUACGUCUAGAUACAUUUCCUUUUAUCCAUUUUGAUGACAAGUAUUUCUGGACGGGGAGAGUAUUUAUCUUUUUAGAGAUUUCAACAAGUGACUAUGACCGGACCUUACCAACAUACUCAAAAAAGUAGUCCAUAAUUUUGACGUUACCCUCUUUUCUUGGCGGUGCAGUGCCAUCUGGAUACCUCAUAAAUAAAUCAAGGACAAAUCUGACCCCUUCCUAAAAUAUGUCUACAUACACAUCCGUAUGUGGUAGUCCAUUUGAAAUCUGAAAAAGACAAAUAUUUAGGAACGAAUGGAGUAUAAGAAUAAACAUGGAGAUAUAUCUCCAGCAUGGUGUACAACAAAAAUGUGCUGGGCUGGUUAGCGCCGGAUGCUCGCAACGCGAUGACAUGAGUUUGAAUUCUGUCUUUUAACUUUAGAUUUUUAUAUUAUAUAUUACUCUACUUAUUUAAUAUAUACUUCUUUCGCUACUGUACUAAGAGUGGAACCCACAGAGUACUUAGAAUACAAGAUUAAGGAUGGACUUGUUUCUUUUUAAUUUUCUGUACGAAGUUGUAGCCACCCUGCAAGUGACGUGUACACUGUAUAUGCAAUUAACUUUUUAUAGAGGAACAAUCAUACAUGCAAUUAACUCAAAUGGAUUGGAUGUCACUCUAUUAUUUCCAGCAUAAAGAGCAUCUCCAACGGCAGCCGGCAAAUUUCCUCCUGCUUCCUUCCGGGGAGGACGACAUCAAACGCCAGCGGCAUACAUUUUUACAACUCUAACCAACCAGAUGAAAUUCAUGCAAACACGGACUGGUUUCAUAUAAGCAUGAAGGAUUUCGUAUAAAAAGCUGGAUCUUCAUAUAAACAUGAUGGACUUCAUUACAUUUACAUGAACUAAGAGGUGCCAAUCCGGCUCUCAUGCAUAAUUAAUACUCCCUCCAUCCGGAAAUACUUGUCCUAGAAAUGUAUGUAUCUAGACUUAUUUUAGUUCUAAAUGGCUGUCCGCGGAUCCCUUUGUCUUCCUCAUCUCCGUCAGACACUUGCGGGGUCGAUGAAGGUCCUCGGAAGAGACGAAGCAGCAAAGAAACCACCUGAAUCCGCAGUCGUCGCCUCGGUGGUGGCCUUCAUGGGUCCCAAGUGGCGGCGGCCUCCAGUGUUCUACUUCUCCUCGAUGAUGGCGGCGGACACGGAGAAGCUGGCCACCGACUCGUCGCUCUCCACGCACCCGGCUUCUGUCUCUGUCUACAUGGCGUUGCCGCGGGCAUGGGAGGCGCGCCCACAGACACAGGAGGCGCGGCCACCGCAGACACCGGUGGCGCGGUACGACUCGGCAACGACGGCGCCCGUACCGGCGUGCUCGCCGCCGUGUCGGUGUGGAGCAACUCGCCAUUCCUCAUCGAGCUGAACUAGAGCGGCGAGUUGCUGAACCACGCGCCUGCUUGGGGCGGUAACUGGCUCCGUCGGGCCAAGUGAGGUUUGUGAAGCACCGAGCGCCCUCGCCCGUAUUCGGAGGGCUCGGCGGGCCACCCACUUGGGUAAUAUGCCGGAGAACGGCUCAUCGGAAGCCAUCGGAAGAGUGGAGAAAAUGGUGAAGGAGGAGAUGGGGGAGCAGCGGAGGGGUGCGAUUCUUGCCCGCUGUCUGUCUGGCCUCGUGUAAAUAGAGGGCGGACGGUAGGAGCUUGGCCGACGUCUGGCCUCGUUUAAACUGAGAGCGGACGGGAGGAGCUCGGCCGGUGUUGCGUUUAAUUCUGGCCCGCUCAUAAACGGACUUGUGGCCAGAGUAGAAUUCUCGAUUUGCAUGCGGGUUUAACAGAGGGGUCUAAUGGAGGCGCCGACCGUGUAGCGGGUGGCGCAGUACUAUUCGAUUUGACAGCAGUAAUGAGCCGUCAAAUCACAAAGGCCCUCGCCUCUCAUGAAACCGACCGAGCUAGACUGCCCCGCCCUCUAGCCUUUUAAAAAAUGUAUAUACUCCACUUUUGUAUGGUAGUAGUAUCGAUGGAUUGCGCCAUGGAGCAAAACUUGAAAUUAAAAAAAAGGUGGUACAUAUAGAGAGCGCUCGUCACCAAAUUAUGCAUAUAGUACAAUUAAAAAGGAUUGUCACAAUAAUGGUGUCCAGCACAAGUGCACAACCCACCCCUCAAAUAAAACUAAGCACCCUGGAAUUCUUUGACAAAACUAAGCAUCCUGAAAUUCUUUGACAACUAAACUGCUGGCUAUAUGAUGUUGGCCAUAUAUAUUGUACGUAUAUAAUGUGAAGAAACGAGUGGUAGUACUAUACCAACUAAAAGAUGAAAUGUAAGAAAUACUAGUAUGUACGUACUGAAGAGUUAAAAUAACGAGAAGAAACAUAACAUAGUUCUGCUGGGGGCUCAGCACAACACGCCCCUCAAAUUAAAUUAAGCACAUCUGAAAUUAAACUUUGCAACUAUUCCGGUAGACACUGCAUUAGAACCACCAUGAGCAAUGACACUGCCACCUUACUCGGAGUCCUCGUCCAUGUCCUCGACUUCAUCCUUGUCCCUCUUCCUCUUGGUCGAUACUUCUUUGCUUGAACCGUACAUUUGGCUCUUGCUCUUCAUCCAACCCUUGUAGAUAUUGAAACAAAGGUAGCCAUCCAUUGCAGCAUAAUGGAUGUGGUCUAUAUCUAGUACAUUCCGCUGCCAUGCAUAACGAUGAAACGUGUAUGGAGGUUUCUCCAGUUUACCAUACGAAGGAUGAACCAUGGCUCCUGCCAGGGUCAACAUUGAAGGCUGACGAGAGGACACCAACCGAUUCUUCUGGAGGUCGAAGGUGUUGCCUACAACGAGGCCUAUCUGAUCCAGGACUUCUUUGUCGUUACCAAAGUCUAUAGUAAUGAAUUUAACUAGGUUGCUCUCGAGGAACUCCUUAAAAUCCAGGCAUUCAACAUCGGCAUGGCAUAUGUGGUAGACCAAGCAUAACUCAUGCACACAAACCUGUAUCACGGCAGGCUUCUUCCUCUCUUUAUCCUUUAGAUCCUUCUCUUGUCUCAGGACUAUGAUGUACUCAACAUCUAGCCCAGCGACCCACUCAUCAUCUGAGUCUUCGAACAUGCGUCUAAAGCGAGAAAGGCAUCCUUUCACCGCCGUGGAAGAACGGGUGUAGAUGACGUCAAACUCAUCGCCGGUGAUGGUUCUAACCUUGUACUCACCGCCGAUCGUGGAGAUUUGGGACGCCAUGGAUUUGGGAGGAGGGUUAGGAUUAGGGGAACUGCCAUAAUGUGAAAGGACGGGACGACUAGGAGCGAACCACCAUAGUAUUGAAGGACGUGCAGGGACGAGUAGGAGCGAACUGCCAGCAUGCGAACGGCAGGGUAGUGGCUUUCCAUUCUCCCAUGAUACGGGCUUCCAAGAGCCCUUGGAUCUGAGAUCGAACGGUUGCAUGGCGUGAUUCUAGACCUAUGGGUGAAUAUCCUAUCCUAGAGGGUUAUUCUGUAAAUUUUCAGCAACUUAGCAUGCGACUGUUUGAUCUCAGAUCCAAGGGCUGCCAGCAGCCCAUAUCAUGGUCGCGCCUACCAGGACCGUCGCGUCGCACGCGCGGUCGCGCCCUUGGAGAUUUAACACGGUGCAUUAGGCUAUCUGAUGUUGGCAUGUCAUGCAUAGUCAUCACUUAGUCACUCAUACUACAACAAGGUUGGCUAUAACUGUAUUUUUUACUCCUCUCUAUCUCUUUCUUCGUACUCCCUCUGUCCCAUAAUAUAAGAACAUUUUUGACACUAGUGUAGUGCCAAAAACGUUCUUAUAUUAUGGGACACAGGGAGUACUAGUAUUUAUUGCAUUUGCCAAGAAGUGACCUCUUCCAAUGAAAUGGUGUGCUUAUUAGUUUUUUGUUGCUAAGUUUGCUUCAUUUAAUUAUCUAUAGAUUCAAAAUUGUCUUUUCACCUAGGUACACACGCUUAGCACCGUUUCUUCCUUGGGUCACCAAACUAGUCUCUCUCUUCUUGAUUAAGUUGCCACAUCAGACUUUAUGCCUAUGUGGCAAGCUUAGCACCUGUAGGAGCAAGUAAGUACAAUAGUGCGCUUCACAUGGCAUUUUUGCAUAUGUGGAGGAAAGAGAGGCAAGGAAAAAGUGGAGAAGUGGGCUCUGAUGCAAGAGCCAGCCUCUACUACAUGGUGGAGCAUUGGGAGAGGCACCUGUAUGGAGGUGGUCAGGAAUCGGGAGACUCACGCCGGUCGUAGCACCGCAGUUAAAAUGAUAAUGGCAAGUCAAAUCACAGGGCCCCACCUGUCCAACAGUAACUCGAUGUCAAAUCACACAGCCCUAUGUUUGUAGCAGCCUACUCCCUUGUCUUCUCGCGUCUCUGUCGAACCGACUAGGCGGAACUGCCCCGCCUACCACGUAGGAAAAGCCCGCGCAGUAUACUCCCUCCGUCUAGGUGACCAAGGUGGAAAAGAAAACGAGAGAACUUAAUGUUUAGUAUUUGCUAAGGCUGGUUGUAAUGGUACUAGCCUUAGCAAUUUUGAUGAUGUGUCAUAGAAUUAAAUGAAGAAAGAGAGAGAGUUGAGUACUAUGUGUCAUACAUGGCAAUAAAUAAAGUACUACAUGAUACUAAUAUAUGAUACAUGGCGUAGGAGUACUAAGUACUACCUCCGUCCUGGUUUAUAGGUCCCCUUUGUAGUUUGUGCCAAAUUUUGACUAAAGAUUUAACUAACAAAAUGUUAAUGCAUGUCAAGAAAAAUUAUCUGAUUGGAUUCGUAUUUGAACAUAGUUUUCAAAAAUAUAAUGUUUGGUGACAUGCAUGAACAUUUUGUUAGUUUAAUCUAUGGUCAAAAUUUAGCACGAAAUACAAUGGGGACCAAUAAACCCGGACGGAGGUAGUAUUAUUAAUACAGUUUUGCUAGAACUCAUCUAGAUGAGAUAUAAUUUGGUCUCAUUCAUCUUUUAUAACCAUUGGAUGUGAUGCUAUAAGAUGCGUGUGUGCCAACGUGGGUUGUAUUUGUUCUUGUGCAACUAACUAACCACUGCAUGUCAUGUUUGAUAGUCUCAAGUCAUUAAAAGCAUACAAGCCCCACAUCUCUUAUUGGUUGAUUCCUCUAUUUAUGUCCAAAAAAAGAAACAACGUGAGAGUUAAUGCACCAUGCCUAUGUGUUUACUAUUUGGUUUUCAUAAGAUGACUUAAUACUCACCUAGACGGAGGGAGUAUUCGAUUUGACAGCGGGCGGCUGAUACAUCUCCGUCGUAUCUACUUUUCCAAACACUUUUGCCCUUGUUUUUGACUCUAACUUGUAUGAUUUGAAUGGAACUAACCCGGACUAACGUUGUUUUCAGCAGAAUUGCCAUGGUGUUGUUUUUGUGCAGAAAAUAAAAGUUCUCGGAAUGACCUGAAACUCCACGGAAUAUCUUAGGAUAAUUAAUAAAAAAUCCUCGCAAAAGAUGACGACCAGGGGGCCCACACCCUGUACACGAGGGUGGGGGUGCACCCCUGGGCGCGCCCCUACCUCGCGGGCCUGCUGGUGGCCCUCCGACGCCAACUCCAACUCCAUAUAUUGGCCUUCGGGGAGAAAAAAAUCAGAGAGAAGAAAUCAUCGCGUUUUACGAUACGGAGCCGCCGCCAAGCCCUAAUAUCUCUCGGGAGGGCUGAUCUAGAGUCCGUUCAGGGCUCCGGAGAGGGGAAUUCGUCGCCGUCGUCAUCAUCAACCAUCCUCCAUCACCAAUUUCAUGAUGCUCACCGCCGUGCGUGAGUAAUUCCAUCAUAGGCUUGCUGGACGGUGAUGAGUUGGAUGAGGUUUAUCAUGUAAUCAAGUUAGUUUUGUUAGGGUUUGAUCCCUAGUAUCCACUAUGUUUUGAGAUUGAUGUUGCUAUGACUUUGCUAUGCUUAAUGCUUGUCACUAGGGCCCGAGUGCCAUGAUUUCAGAUCUGAACCGAUUAUGUUUUCAUGAAUAUAUGUGAGUUCUUGAUCCUAUCUUGCAAGUCUAUAGUCACCUACUAUGUGUUAUGAUCCGGCAACCCCGAAGUGACAAUAAUCGGAACCACUCCCGGUGAUGACCAUAGUUUGAGGACUUCAUGUAUUCACUAUGUGCCAAUGCUUUGUUCCGGUUCUCUAUUAAAAGGAGGCCUUAAUAUCCCUUAGUUUCCAAUAGGACCCCGCUGCCACGGGAGGGUAGGACAAAACAUGUCAUGCAAGUUCUUUUCCAUAAGCACGUAUGAUUAUAUUCAGAAUACAUGCCUACAUUACAUUGAUGAACUGGAGCUAGUUCUGUGUCACCCUAUGUUAUGACUGUUACAUGACGAACCACAUCCGGCAUAAUUAUCCAUCAUUGAUCCGGUGCCUACGAGUUUUCCAUAUAUUGGUUCUCGCUUAUUUACUUUUCCGUUGUUACUGUUACAAUCACUACAAAAUACCAAAAACAUUACUUUUGUUGUCUUUACUUUUGUUACCGUUACCACCACUAUCAUAUUACUUUGCUACUAAACACUUCGCUAUAGAUACUAAGUUUCCAGGUGUGGUUGAAUUGACAACUCAGCUGCUAAUACUUGAGAAUAUUCUUUGGCUCUCCUUGUGUCGAAUCAACAAAUUUGGCUUGAAUACUCUACCCUCGAAAACUGUUGCGAUCCCCUAUACUUGUGGGUUAUCAAGACCUUUUUCUGGCGCCGUUGUCGGGGAGCAUAGCUCUAUUCUUUGAGUCACUUGGGAUUUAUAUCUGCUGUACACUAUGAAGAACUUGAAAGAUGCUAAGACCAAGAUUUUUUCCUCAACCACGAGGGGAGGUAAGGAACUGGCAUCUAGCUCUGCACUAGAUUCUCCUUCUGUUAUAAGUAAGCUUGCGAUGCCUAAACCUGCUACCGCUAUGAAUUCUGAUAUGUCGCAUGUUAUUGAUGAUGCCACUUCUAUGCUUGAUGCUACUGUGCCCCUUGGUGAAUUUCUUGAUGAGCAAAUUGCUAGGUCUAAAGAAAGAGAAAUUAUUGCACCUGAAUACAAUGAUGAGAGUGAUGAUGAAAAUAUGCCUCCUAUUCCUGAAGGUUAUCUUUUUGAUGCAGAAUCUUCUGCCGCUAUUUUUGCUUGCCAGGAUAGAUAUGAACUUAAGAGGUUGCUAAUUAAACGGGGUAAAGAAUCUCUUAGAGAUAGAAUGAGACCCGACCCUGCUUUUGCCACUUCACCUAUUUGUGUUCCCAAUAAGGAUUAUGAUUUUUUUGUUGAUCCAGAUAUAAUUACUUUAGUUGAAUCCGAUCCUUUCUAUGGCUAUGAAUCUGAAACUGUUGUGGCACAUCUUACUAAGUUGAAUGAUAUAGCUGCCCUGUUUACUAAUAAUGAGAGAUCGUGCUAUCUUUAUUUACUCAAAAUAUUUCCGUUCUCAUUAAAGGGUGAUGCUAAGAUAUGGUUUAAUUCUCUUGAUCCUGGUUGUGUGCCAAGUCCCCAGGAUAUGAUUUAUUACUUCUCUGCUAAAUAUUUCCCUGCUCAUAAGAAACAAGCAGCCUUGAGGGAAAUAUAUAACUUCAUGCAAAUCAAAGAAGAGAGUCUCCCACAAGCUUGGGGGAGGUUUCUCAAGUUACUUAAUGCUUUGCCUGAUCAUCCUCUUAAGAAACCUGAAAUAUUUGAUAUCUUUUAUAAUGGACUAACUGAUGCUUCUAGAGAUUACCUGGAUAGUUGUGUUGGUUCUCUUUUCAGGGAAAGAACACCGGAUGACGCUGAAAUUCUAUUGAAUAAUAUGUUGGCUAAUGAAAAUAAUUGGGCACCUCCCGAGCUACCUCCUGAGCCAAUUACUGAGCCUGUUCUUAAACCAACUCCGAAGAAGAGAGGUGUUUUAUUUCUUAGUCCCGAAGAUAUGCAAGAGGCAAAGAAAUAUAUGAAAGAAAAAGGUAUUAAAGCCGAAGAUGUUAAGAAUUUACCUCCUAUUGAAGAAAUACACGGUCUUAAUUUACCGCCUGUUAAAGAAGUAUAUGAUCUCAAUUACUUAUUUACUGAAGAACCUCCUGAUAUCCCGACACAGGUAGUAAAGGUAAAUUCUCUCUAUAGAUAUGAUAAAGCUGAAGUCCCUCCUACUAAAAUUGCUAGUUAGUGCUUGGAUGAGUUUGAUAACUUUAUGUUUAAGCAAGAUGACUUUAAUGCUUAUUUUGGUAGACAAUUAAAACAAGAUGCCUAUAUGAUUAAACGCUUGGGUGAUUAUAUGGCUGAUAUUAGAGGUGAACUUAAACUUGUUAGCAAACAUGCUUCUAUGGUUACCACUCAAGUAGAACAAGUACUUAAAGCUCAAAAAGGAGCGCUUGAUGAAAUGAAUAGUAAGAAAAAUGAUUAUGCUGUUAGAGUGGCUACUAGAACCGGUAGAAUGACUCAGGAACCUUUAUAUCCUGAAGGCCACCCUAAGAGAAUCGAGCAAGAUUCUCAGAGAAAUGAUAUUGAUGUACCGAGUUCUUCUACAAAGAAGAAAAAGAAAAAUGAUAGGACUUUGCAAACUUCUAGUGAACCUAUCGCUGAGCCACCUGAGAAUCCAAAUGAUAUUUCUAUUUCUGAUGCUGAAACACAAUCAGGUGAUGAACAUGAACCUAGAGAUAAUGUUAAUGAUAAUGUUCAUGCUGAUGCUCAACCUAGUAAUGAUAAUGAUUUAGAAGUUGAACCUACUGUUGAUCUUGAUAACCCACAAUCAAAGAAUCAACGUUAUGAUAAAAGAGAUUUUGUUGCUAGGAAACAUGGUAAAGAAAGGGAACCAUGGGUUCAGAAACCAUGCCUUUUCCUCCGAAACCAUCCAAGAAAAAGGAUGAUGAGGAUUUUGAGCGCUUUGCUGAAAUGAUUAGACCCAUCUUUUUGCGUAUGCGAUUAACUGAUGUGCUCAAAACAAAUCCUUAUGCUAAGUAUAUGAAGGAUACCAUUACUAAUAAAAGAAAGAUACCUGAAGCUGAAAUUUCCACCAUGCUUGCUAAUUAUACUUUUAAGGGUGGAAUACCAAAGAAACUUGGAGACCCCGGAGUACCUACUAUACCAUGCUCCAUUAAAAGAAAUUAUGUUAAAACCGCCUUGUGUGAUCUUGGAGCCGGUGUUAGUGUUAUGCCUCUCUCUUUAUAUCGCAGACUUGACUUGAAUAAGUUGACACCUACUGAAAUAUCUUUGCAAAUGGCUGAUAAAUCAACUGCUAUACCUGUCGGUAUUUGUGAGGAUGUGCCUUUUGUGGUUGCAAACGUUACUAUUUUAACGGACUUUGUUAUUCUUGAUAUUCCUGAGGAUGAUAGUAUGUCUAUUAUUCUUGGAAGACCUUUCCUUAAUACUGCAGGGGCUGUUAUUGAUUGCAACAAAGGCAAUGUCACUUUUCAUGUUAAUGGCAAUGAACACACGGUACACUUUCCGAGGAAACAACCUCAAGUUUAUAGUGUCAACUCUAUUGAAAAAAUUCCAUCAAUUAUAUUUGGAGGUUUUGAAUUUCCUCUCCCUACUGUCAAGAAGAAGUAUGACAUACUUAUUGUUGGGGAUUUUCAUAUCCCCGUUGAGGUAACUUAGUGCUAUUCGAAAUUUCUCCGGUUCCGUGUUAAUCGGAAUGAGCUCGUUAACAAGACUUGAUCAACCUUGUUAGUGGAUUCAUUUUGAUGAUCACGAGAUGGAUGAAACUAGAAGCACAACCUUCUGUACCCUCUUUAUAUUUUUUGUUAUUUAGUAGAAAUAAAGUAAAAUAGUACUUUUCUGUCUGUCUCCUGACUUAUCCGUACAAUAUAAAAAUAUCCCGAAAAUAAAAAGUCCUCAGAAUGCCAUGCCAAUUUUAUAUGAUUUUUUCGGGAAUAUUUAAGAAUUUACUGUGCAAAAAUCACCGCGGGGGGAGCUGCCACCUGGCCACAAGGGUGGAGGGAGCGCCCUACCCCCCUAGGCGCGCCCCCCUGCCUCGUGGGCCCACGGUGGCCCUCCUGCACUUAUUCAUGCACCCAUCUUCUUCCUCUGCCUCACACAAACACGAAAAACCAACCCAAGCACGAGUUCCAGCCCCGUAGCUGUGAUUUUCGAUCUCCUUGCUCAAAGCACCUCUCACAAAACUACUUGGGGAGAUUGUUCCUUGGUAUGUGACUCCUCCAUUGGUCCAAUUAGUUUUUGUUCUAGUGCUUUAUUCAUUGCAAAUUUGUGCUGCAUAGGUGACCAUGUUCUUAAGCUUGCACGUCAAAUUUAUAUGGUUCCAAUUAGUACCAAUGCUUUAUAUAGGCUCUAGGCACUUGCAGGAGUUGUUGCUACCAAUUUUAUUGAAGUAGGUUCACUUUUAUUUGAAGUUACUAAAAGUUUCAGAUUGUUUCAGAAUUUAUGAAGAGAUUUUUGAGGGGCACAUCGAGCCGAAGCUCGAAGGAAAAACAAAAGGAAGAAGAACAGAAGCCCAAAUUUAAUUUGCCUCGCACCGCGGAGGUCCGACCGUCUAAAUGGCCUUCUGAUGACUUCUUGAGGAGAGCUGGGAUUUAUGAAGAUUUCUAUUUAUUAAUUGAGAAUGCUGGCCUCACCAAUUUCCUCCGCGACCAACGUCAUCAGUAUCUCGUACUCACAAAUACUUUUGUGCAAAAUUUAUACUUUUUCCCUAAAAGUUCACCUCCAUCGAUAGAAUUUCAUUUAUAUGACGUUGUUAAGAGAAUGCCUUUAGCUGAAUUUUGCGAGGUUUGCAAAAUACCUUUUGAGGGCACCUUGGAUGAAUCACACCGUAACGAAAUAGAAGCUUUCAUUAACACUAUCACAGUGGGAGAAACCAGGAAGGUUUCCGAUGCACGAAUCACUAGCAUACAUUUUCCUGUUUUACGCUACUUUGCCUUAUUUGCUAGUUGUUGCCUGAUAGGUCGCGGAAACUGUGGAAACCUUAGUAUUCCUGAUGUUAUCAUUUUUUCCAUGGUUUAUAUCGAAGUAACUCUGUUAGUUUGGGUGGAAUUUUUGCUAGGCGGUUAAGUCUGAACCGUACUAAAGGCCCCAUCUUUGGAGGCAUUUAUGCCUCACGCCUAGCUGAACAUUUUGAAAUACCUUUUAGGCAUGCGGAGGAAGAGGAAACAUCGCUGCCUCGUGCUUAUUUAGAUUAUAGGAGUAUGCUAGCGCAUGAUUUUCUUGUUAAAAGCCGCGAAGGGGAGCUCAAAUAUAAAUUGUACUUUGAUAAACACCACCCUGAGAUUAUUACUUUGCCUGCUCCCUCUUUGUUUAACUUGUCUGCAGGUCCUCACAUCGUUCCGUGGGCGGCCAUUCAAGCCUAUCGAAAUCCUGCACCCGCCUCGGAACCGGAGCCACAAGAUGAGCCUCCACGACUAUCUAUUUAUUCUUGGGAUCCAGAGGAGGCUGCCAGCCAAUGGCAGCCGGAGCCUUCUUCAUCACAGUACGACCCCAACUUCACUUAUGGGUAUACGCCAGGCCAUCCUUGGCAAUAGACUAACUUAGGCCAAAAGCCUAAGCUUGGGGGAGUACGUAUUUCCCACCGACAUUACAUUCAUGUUUACACACACUCAUUGCUAGAUGUCGGUGUUCAUACUCUUUCACUGUAAUAUCCAUGCUAGUUUAUUUUCUUUUUCCUGCUUUCUUCUUGUGUGUUUAAUAAACCUUAAGAAAAACAAAAAAAAA